Molecule: non-coding RNA, 2369 nt
Organism: Macaca mulatta (Rhesus monkey)
Lineage: Eukaryota; Metazoa; Chordata; Mammalia; Primates; Cercopithecidae
Source: RefSeq, a predicted model, not a curated record
CUCCAGCCUGGGCGACAGGAGUGAGACUCCAUCUCAAAAAUAAAUGAACAAAUAAAUAAAUAAAUAAAUAAAGAUUUAUGAUCAAGUAACUACCUGGACAUCCUCUCCUGGCAUAAAAAUCAGAACCUAUGAAGCCACCCUAGACUGUUGCCCAAUCAUAUCCCCCAAAAGCAACCUCUAUCUUGAGUCUUGUAUUUACUAUUCCUUUUCACUGUCUCUAAAGAUUUUUGCAAUAAGUACAUAUAUACCCAAAUCACAGUUUGUGUUUUUUGAACUUCCCGGUACAGAGAACUCACACUAUGUGUAUUCUUCUGCGAUGCGCGUUAUGUGUAGGAGAGUUAUCUCUGAUGUGGGAGGGUGCUGCUCAUUCAUUUUUACUGCUAAAGUUUUACUUUUUAUGAAUAUACCACAAUUUUGUUAAUUCCCAUUGAUGUAUAUGUGAUUAUUUCCAGUUUUUUGCCAUAAACAUUGGUGUACACGUCUCCUGGACACAUAGCUAAGAAUGUCCCCAGAGUGUAUGAUCAGGAGGCAGACGGUGGGAUUAUACGGUGUAUGGACGUUAAUCAUACUAGGUAAGGCUAAUUUGAUUUCCCAAGUGCUUGUACCAAGAAUGGGAAAGAGUUCAUGUUGCUCAUGUGUUCUGAAAACAUUCAGUUGAAGGUGGAGAUUAAAUGUUAAAAAUCACUGUGUUGGCUGCAGAAUCACCCUAGGCAUAUUUUUUAUAUUCCAUUAAUAACUUCCUUUUCUUUACCUUUACCCUGUAAAUUAUGGUUUUAUACUUUAAGCAUAAGGUUCAAACAAUGCUUCCUUUUAGCCUAACCACAUAGAGUUUCUGAAAAAUGGAAGGAGAGAGAAAGCUCUGAGGGAGGAAAGGAGGAAAGAAGGACAGAGAAAGACAAAAUGAAAAUUUCAAAAAGGAGUAGGAGGAAAGGAUUAGAAACAGCAAGUAUGUUUAACAUUAUUAAAAUGCAGGGAAUUAAAAGAUGUAGAUAACAUCCAUGGAAUAAUAGAAACGUAAGAAAGCCUUAAUAGUUAUUAACUGCUGUGUCACAAACUACCUCAAAAUUUAGUGUCUUAAUACAACAAAUACCUGUUAAUUCAAAGAGACACUACAAACACAAGCAAACUAGAUUUUAUGGGGGUGGCAGAAGUUGGAUAAAGAGACAGAUUUUACAGGUUGUAAUAAAUAAGAGUUAUUGGUGUGCAGAUGGAAAUGCUUUUUGAUCCAAGUUCUCCAAGGAGCAGAUACCAAGAGGAGCUUAAAGUCUGCAGCGUUUUAUGAGGGGACACACCUGUAAGGGAAUAUGGGAAGCGAACCAGAAAUCCCUGGAAAAGGCGGCAGACAAUGAUGCAAGUGUGACCCCAAGUGCUGGACAGAAGGAGAGAAAGUUUAUUCGACGCGCCCAAGAGCACAGGCAAUCUAAGGAGAGUUGAGCAAGGGCAUGGAGGAGUCCUGGAGCCACAUUUGGCCAUCAGAGGAGUCCCGUGUCUCCCGGUAAUGGCCUGCCUUAGUGUGCCUGCUGUGACCGGUCACUGGCUGGGAACCACUCAUGGGAAGCAGGGCUUCGGCACUAAUCCUGCUGAGGAUGUCAGAGCACAGGAGCAGAGCCUUGGGACAUUACCUAGGAGUAUGACUCAAUCCUUCCUUACAGAGGGUUCUGGGCUCUUGAAUAUCAAACCCUCUCAGGCUGGGUUGCUGGAUGAUUCUGCUCACACUUACAACAGGCAAGGGAAACCAGGAGAUCCCCAAGUGGAGUCCUGGUUUCUAUGCAUACUUCUCCUGCUCUCAUUGUGUGAUAGCAGCCCUGCCUCCUCCUCUUCUCACCUGCUUGUCUCUGGGCACAUGCUAUUCAAAUAUCCCUGGGUGCAACCACAAUGUGUAGUUCCAUGGACUCUCAUUUGUCUCCUUGCCAGGGUGCCCCCUUUGAGAAAUCAGGACCUCCUGCCCUGUGGAGUCCAGAUUUUGGAGCAGCGACCCCAGCUCCAGUGACUACAGCUCCAAGGAGAACCAGGCCAGCAACGAUGCCCACGAUGGGGAUGGUGGACUGGGAAGACGGCUUUGGGAAAAAAGGAGAAGAAGGCACACCACAGCUGCCCACUUCUGGAAGGUUCCAUUCCCUGCGGGCCUGGUCUCUACAAGCUCCAUGUCCUGAGUCUGGCCCUCCCCAUCCCACUGCCAGCCCGGGAGAUCUACAGGCGAUCAGGGAGGCGUCCCGUGCCCCGUGAUACCCGCGCGCUGCAGCGUCUCCUUCCCGUUCUCCUGGUGUCUGCGGAGCCACCCGACGCACAUGCCCUCCAGGUAGGCCCUGACCUGCUUUGCAAAUUCCUCUGCCUCCCACUUGCGCGUGUCAGCUGCGGUCCAGGAGCAC